GGGGGCGUAGCUCAGUUGGUAGAGCGUUCGGUUGAAGCCCGGAAUGCCGCCGGUUCAAGUCCGGCCUUCACUACCA
RNAcentral lists this transfer RNA (76 nucleotides) under Oscillospiraceae bacterium. RNAcentral describes it as "tRNA-Phe". It matches the Rfam family "tRNA". Rfam says of the family: Transfer RNA (tRNA) molecules are approximately 80 nucleotides in length. Their secondary structure includes four short double-helical elements and three loops (D, anti-codon, and T loops). Further hydrogen bonds mediate the characteristic L-shaped molecular structure. tRNAs have two regions of fundamental functional importance: the anti-codon, which is responsible for specific mRNA codon recognition, and the 3' end, to which the tRNAs corresponding amino acid is attached (by aminoacyl-tRNA synthetases). tRNAs cope with the degeneracy of the genetic code in two manners: having more than one tRNA (with a specific anti-codon) for a particular amino acid; and 'wobble' base-pairing, i.e. permitting non-standard base-pairing at the 3rd anti-codon position. Lineage: Bacteria; Bacillati; Bacillota; Clostridia; Eubacteriales; Oscillospiraceae. The record is from RNAcentral.